RNAcentral lists this small nuclear RNA (167 nucleotides) under Suricata suricatta (meerkat). Its description in RNAcentral is "U2 spliceosomal RNA (ENSSSUG00005005404.1)". It matches the Rfam family "U2 spliceosomal RNA". From Rfam's summary of the family: U2 is a small nuclear RNA (snRNA) component of the spliceosome (involved in pre-mRNA splicing). Complementary binding between U2 snRNA (in an area lying towards the 5' end but 3' to hairpin I) and the branchpoint sequence (BPS) of the intron results the bulging out of an unpaired adenosine, on the BPS, which initiates a nucleophilic attack at the intronic 5' splice site, thus starting the first of two transesterification reactions that mediate splicing. Lineage: Eukaryota; Metazoa; Chordata; Mammalia; Carnivora; Herpestidae. The record is from Rfam by way of RNAcentral.
AUCGCUUCUCGGCCUUUUGGCUAAGAUCAAGUGUAGUAUCUGUUCUUAUCAGAUUCUGUAUCUCCCUCUCUCUCUGACCCUCCCCUGCUCGCACUGUCUCUCUCUGUCUCUCAAAAAUAAAUUUUAAAAAAACAUAAAAAAUAAAAAUUAAAUUAAAAAAAAUUCUU